UGGGGAAUAUUGGACAAUGGAGGAAACUCUGAUCCAGCAAUUCUGUGUGUGUGAAGAAGGUUUUAGGACUGUAAAACACUUUUAGUAGGGAAGAAAAAAAUGACGGUACCUACAGAAGAAGCAACGGCUAAAUACGUGCCAGCAGCCGCGGUAAUACGUAUGUUGCGAGCGUUAUCCGGAAUUAUUGGGCUUAAAGGGCAUCUAGGCGGUAAGACAAGUUGAAGGUGAAAACCUGUGGCUCAACCAUAGGCUUGCCUACAAAACUGUUGAACUAGAGUACUGGAAAGGUGGGUGGAACUACACGAGUAGAGGUGAAAUUCGUAGAUAUGUGUAGGAAUGCCGAUGAUGAAUAUAACUCACUGGACAGAAACUGACGCUGAAGUGCGAAAGCUAGGGGAGCAAACAGG
This 407-nucleotide ribosomal RNA is filed under the name Verrucomicrobiota bacterium. Its description in RNAcentral is "Verrucomicrobia bacterium partial 16S ribosomal RNA". It matches the Rfam family "Bacterial small subunit ribosomal RNA", at positions 355 to 776 of the family's 1533-position model. Lineage: Bacteria; Pseudomonadati; Verrucomicrobiota. The record is from RNAcentral.